This 549-nucleotide ribosomal RNA is filed under the name uncultured Glomeromycotina. RNAcentral's name for it is "SSU rRNA". It matches the Rfam family "Eukaryotic small subunit ribosomal RNA", at positions 548 to 1098 of the family's 1831-position model. Lineage: Eukaryota; Fungi; Glomeromycota. The record is from RNAcentral.
UUGGAGGGCAAGUCUGGUGCCAGCAGCCGCGGUAAUUCCAGCUCCAAUAGCGUAUAUUAAAGUUGUUGCAGUUAAAAAGCUCGUAGUUGAAUUUCGGGAUCAAUUUAUUGGUCGUGCCAACGGUACGCACUGGUACAAUUGGUUUCUCCCUUCUGACGAAGCAUGAUGUCAUUAAUUUGAUGUCGUGGGGAAUCAGGACUGUUACUUUGAAAAAAUUAGAGUGUUUAAAGCAGGCUUUGGCUUGAAUACAUUAGCAUGGAAUAAUGAAAUAGGACGUUUGAUCUUAUUUCGUUGGUUUCUAAGAUCGACGUAAUGAUUAAUAGGGAUAGUUGGGGGCAUUAGUAUUCAAUUGUCAGAGGUGAAAUUCUUGGAUUUAUUGAAGACUAACUACUGCGAAAGCAUUUGCCAAGGAUGUUUUCAUUAAUCAAGAACGAAAGUUAGGGGAUCGAAGACGAUCAGAUACCGUCGUAGUCUUAACCAUAAACUAUGCCGACUAGGGAUCGGACGAAGUUAAUUUUAUAAUGACGCGUUCGGCGCCUUACGGGAAAC